AUACUUACCUGGCGUAGGGGAUACCGUGAUCAUGCAAGCGGUUUCCCCAGGGCGAGGCUGCUCCAUUGCACUGCGGAGUGGUUGACCCUUGCGUGUGAUUAUUUUUAUUUUAUCAAUAAAAAAUCAUAAUAAAAAAGGCGUACCCAAAUAAUUAUUUCCUUUAUACCUCGAAUAGAACUUAAAAUUAAUAUUUUUAUAAUAAGGAACUUCGUUCCUAUC
This 219-nucleotide small nuclear RNA is filed under the name Bombyx mori (domestic silkworm). Its description in RNAcentral is "U1 spliceosomal RNA". The stretch from base 1 to 120 matches the Rfam family "U1 spliceosomal RNA". From Rfam's summary of the family: U1 is a small nuclear RNA (snRNA) component of the spliceosome (involved in pre-mRNA splicing). Its 5' end forms complementary base pairs with the 5' splice junction, thus defining the 5' donor site of an intron. There are significant differences in sequence and secondary structure between metazoan and yeast U1 snRNAs, the latter being much longer (568 nucleotides as compared to 164 nucleotides in human). Lineage: Eukaryota; Metazoa; Arthropoda; Insecta; Lepidoptera; Bombycidae. The record is from Rfam by way of RNAcentral.